CUUGACCGCUCCCUUGAUCUUUGUUCGUAUCUUAUCUUGCAGAAAAGGACGGUUGCGAUGGCCAAGAUCUCCUUGCCAUCGCCCAAGAUGCAGAUGUACCAAGGCACUACAUCCCUAUUAUAAAAGAGUGUCUAACGUUCAAGAAAUUGAUUGCAAUGAACGCUGAACCUAGAGAUGACAUGAGUUCUUCGUCGUUACGAUAAUUAAUUUUCCCACCAGAGAAUUUGACGCAUGAAUGGUUCGCCUCUUCUCCCGAGUCCUGUUGAGUCUCAGCGGUCACGUGAUCAAAUUUUGGCGCCGAGAGAUAGAGACGGUUACAGUUCGAAUACUACAUUUGCACAAGCGUGCAGAAUCAAGUCCUUCGAGUAAGACGGUUCAAAGGUCGAUUGAUGAUUCAGAUAACAUCAGCGAUUAUGAAAAUUUAGAGGUGACAUUGGCACCGAAAGAAAAGGGUAAAUCGCCCAAGGAUCUCAGUUUUACGGACGAGGCGACAGAACUGAGCACUGUCUAAGUUCCUCCUGGAUGGCUUUCAAAAUUCCAACUACCAUCGAGGUUCUCUGCCUCAGUAGAGUUGGAUAUCCAGAAGGGAUAUCUCAUCAGCAGCCUAAAGUACUCUGAGCAGCAGUGGAUUGCAAAAAAAAAUUAUUACAGAGUAUCCUUGUAUGGCUAGCAGGAUACUAGACUAAGUUGACUUGGAAACUGAAUUGAUUGGUUUGGUUUAAAAAUCUAUUGCUUCACCUCUUCUGCUUGCAGUGAAGAGAGACAAUUUUGCGGUGCUGAAUCUCUUGCCUAUAAAAAGUUGCAAAAUAAUCACUCUGACCUUUUAAGUUCAUGACCUUUGUUCUUGUGUGUUUGUCAUCACAUAUGCAUUUAAUGAAGUUGGGACCAUUUUGGAGGUACGAGUCCAAAAAACUGCUACUUUGGUACUAAGAUGAACAGCUAAAAUUUCUGAGCCCAUUUGCCAAUGAAGUUCAGAUACAAAGGUUCAAGUACUUUGGGGUUGUAUUAAUUUUGCCUUUUUUUGUUUAGUUUUUUUGAUUUUGCAAUUUUUCAAAAAAUUCCUGUUUUCAAACCAUUAGAUAAAUAUUGCACAUAGAAUAGCUGAUUCUUUUCAGAUAUUUUGGGAGUCAUACAUUAGUUUUUCAAGUUUUGAA
This is a non-coding RNA of Pocillopora verrucosa, 1154 nucleotides long. NCBI's taxonomy places the organism in Eukaryota, Metazoa, Cnidaria, Anthozoa, Scleractinia, Pocilloporidae. The record is from RefSeq and is a predicted model, not a curated record.